UUUAUAUAUAUACAUACAUUCAUAUAUAUAUAUAUAUAUAUAUAUAUAUAUAUAUAUAUGUAUUGUUUAUUCUUUAAGAUUUGUAGCUUCGCCCCAAAUUCUAUGAUGUGUGGUCAAAUUUAGCUAGUGCAUAUAUGAGGAAAGGAAGACUUAAUGAGGUAGCCUAGUGUUGUCGCCAGGCUCUUGCAUUGAACCCUCACUUGGUUGAUGCUCAUAGCAACCUUGGUAAUCUAAUGAAGGCACAAGGCUUAGUACAAGAAGUAAGUCACAGUGGAUUUGAUACAUUAUUUUCAUUGGAUGUUCUUUAAGACUCAAAGUAGAAUUUGAGAACCAUGAUCCAUGACUGGACUACACUGGGUUGAGCAGUUGUUCUAGUAAUGGUGUGUCUUAAUUGUUCUAAUAAGCUGUUUUGAAACUAUUUCAUGAUUUCCUUUGAUUGAAUGAAGGACUGUAAUUGUAAUUGUAAUUGAUUCAUUAUUGAAUGAAUGAAUGAUUGUAAUUGAAUGAA
Molecule: long non-coding RNA, 508 nt
Organism: Magnolia sinica
Lineage: Eukaryota; Viridiplantae; Streptophyta; Magnoliopsida; Magnoliales; Magnoliaceae
Exons: 2
Source: RefSeq, a predicted model, not a curated record